Molecule: ribosomal RNA, 794 nt
Filed under: Bacillus subtilis
Lineage: Bacteria; Bacillati; Bacillota; Bacilli; Caryophanales; Bacillaceae
Description: bacterial SSU rRNA
Rfam family: Bacterial small subunit ribosomal RNA
Source: RNAcentral
UGGGCGUAGAGGGCUCGCAGGCGGUUUCUUAAGUCUGAUGUGAAAGCCCCCGGCUCAACCGGGGAGGGUCAUUGGAAACUGGGGAACUUGAGUGCAGAAGAGGAGAGUGGAAUUCCACGUGUAGCGGUGAAAUGCGUAGAGAUGUGGAGGAACACCAGUGGCGAAGGCGACUCUCUGGUCUGUAACUGACGCUGAGGAGCGAAAGCGUGGGGAGCGAACAGGAUUAGAUACCCUGGUAGUCCACGCCGUAAACGAUGAGUGCUAAGUGUUAGGGGGUUUCCGCCCCUUAGUGCUGCAGCUAACGCAUUAAGCACUCCGCCUGGGGAGUACGGUCGCAAGACUGAAACUCAAAGGAAUUGACGGGGGCCCGCACAAGCGGUGGAGCAUGUGGUUUAAUUCGAAGCAACGCGAAGAACCUUACCAGGUCUUGACAUCCUCUGACGAUCCUAGAGAUAGGACGUCCCCUUCGGGGGCAGAGUGACAGGUGGUGCAUGGUUGUCGUCAGCUCGUGUCGUGAGAUGUUGGGUUAAGUCCCGCAACGAGCGCAACCCUUGAUCUUAGUUGCCAGCAUUCAGUUGGGCACUCUAAGGUGACUGCCGGUGACAAACCGGAGGAAGGUGGGGAUGACGUCAAAUCAUCAUGCCCCUUAUGACCUGGGCUACACACGUGCUACAAUGGACAGAACAAAGGGCAGCGAAACCGCGAGGUUAAGCCAAUCCCACAAAUCUGUUCUCAGUUCGGAUCGCAGUCUGCAACUCGACUGCGUGAAGCUGGAAUCGCUAGUAAUCGCGGAU